This is a long non-coding RNA of Gasterosteus aculeatus aculeatus (three-spined stickleback), 505 nucleotides long. NCBI's taxonomy places the organism in Eukaryota, Metazoa, Chordata, Actinopteri, Perciformes, Gasterosteidae. The record is from Ensembl.
AAAGAAACCCGGAUGGAAGAAAUCAUGCAGAUGGAUGAGGUGGUUGAAGAAGACGACUCGGUGAACUACGUAAACGUUGGAGAGCCUUCUGCCUCCGUCUCACUGGACUGAUGGACGACGUGAAGCCACCACAGAGUCCCUGAUGUCAGACGCCAUGACGCCGUUGUCCACGGCAACAGACGCUUUAAGAGGCUUCAGUGCAGAAACGCUUGUGUUUCACUUUAAACGGGACAAAGAUGCUUCAGUCUUUAUACAGACUGAAUGUUUCCUCCUGUGAAGCAGCAGCGCCUUCUGCAACUGCUGUUUAUAUGUUCACACGUUCAUGUUCACCUGCUACGCUUUAUUCUAUUACACAAUGUUAUAUGUGCUUUAUUCUGUUACACAAUGUUAUAUGUGCUUUAUUAUAUUACACAAUGUUAUAUGUGCUUUAUUCUAUUACACAAUGUUAUAUGUGAAUUAUUCUAUUACACAAUGUUAUAUGUGCUUUAUUAUAUUACACAAUGUU